Micropterus dolomieu (smallmouth bass) is the source of this 2390-nucleotide long non-coding RNA. RefSeq lists it as uncharacterized. The transcript has 3 exons. Lineage: Eukaryota; Metazoa; Chordata; Actinopteri; Centrarchiformes; Centrarchidae. The record is from RefSeq and is a predicted model, not a curated record.
GCUCCAGACAAACACGGGCUCACUCCACUGAUCUCUGCCUGUUUCGAGGGUCACCUCUCCUGCGUCAAGGUCCUGCUAGAAAAGCCGCACACCCCGGCCCUCGCAUCAACAAGCCAGCAGUGUCUUGCAACCAUUCGGCCAGCAGCUGGCCAGCAGCUGGCGUCAUUGCUGUUGGCUCACAGAUAAACCGAAAGAAGCGGCCAAGGCCAACAGGAAGAAAAUAGCAGUUUACUACUCAUCACGUAGCCACAACCUCAGUACAUCCCCCUGGAAGCCAGAAGCUCUUAUUGACCAGAAGACAUCUGAAAUAGUCCGCUAUGCAAGUACCACUACUACAUUAGAAGUGAAAGGCCCUUGGGUGGACAUUUUUAUUUUGCUUUUAAAAGCCAUUGUCUAGUAUCAUGAGACAAAACAGGCAGCAUAUAGCUCAUCUGAACAGGGAUUAUGGUGCAAAGCGAAGAUAUGAGCGAACCCACGGGUUUGCUCCUCUCAUGGCUCUGUACUCAUCUCCACUAAGCACCAACGAGGAUUAACACCCAGACGCAGCCAAAAGGUCAUCAGUCACAACAGAGACUAGAUCUCAAUACAUCUACCCCUGGCAGCUCUGAAAACUCAGCAUGUGUCUUAACAUGAGAUUAAUACGUUGUCCCACAGCCACACCAUUGACUGUGCUGCUGCAUAUCCACUCUGUCUGACAGCACCUGCUGCACCACAGCCACUAACAUUGCAGUAGAAAAAGAAGCCCACUGAGAAUACUGAAUAGUGACUAUUAGACUGUCAGACAUUCUUGUGUUAUCACACAGAAUGGCUUGCUUCCCUAGUGCAUCAUGGGAGCUGACCCCUGACUGAGUGCUGUGUUGUUGUUGGCAAUGAAUUAUAAAAGGCCAUUUUAACCCCAAUAGGUGACCAAGCCCUGAAGAACGUGGCCGAGAGUGCUGACUAUAGCCUGGCAAGUUAAUUUUAAGUCAACAAUGAAAGGGCACGCACAGGCAUACGCACACGAAUACUCACGGAUCCUUUUCUUCUAUGAGGAACUGCGUACAUGACCACUGGCUAGGAAGAAGUGUUACAAUAUUAUUUUGUCAUGUCAUUUCCUGCUGGUUUCCGAAUUUUUUUCAGUGAUUAAUAAUUGCGCAGACACAAAAGAAAAGGUGGACAUUUCUGACAGUUCAGCAGAUGUGGAAGAGUACAACAAAGCCACUUGAAAGCACGUAUCACAUUUUACUAUCGUGAAUGUCUGCAUUUCUUACCCAAUUGUUUUUAUGCUUUUGGGCUUUUGAACAGAAGUAAAUAUCUCUCAAUACUGAUUGGUGACAGUAGUUUAGAUCCUAUGUUAUUAACAUCUGCAUAACAUGCUUUUAAUACAGAGUACAGAGUCUUUAAUAACACAAUCACAUCUGAAAAUAUUUUCGGCAAAUUUAUGACUUUAUAAUCCUAGAAUAUUCAAGUUUUUCACAUAUUGAUAAAUUUACGACAUUAAUCUCAGUCUGUUUUUUUUUUCUCUGUAUAUUACCCCCUCCCCCAGCCCCGUAAAUCAUUUAACCUACAUGAUACUCCUCAUAUGCUGUCAUAGAUACACACUGGUAAACACAAAAACUAGUGGGAUAAAAAAUUAAAUAAAUGUUGUUUUUUUUGCCUAGGUCUCUUCCGUACAGUGUCUAUUCAGGAUAUUCUACCCUACCUGGAAAAGGGUUACUAAUGAUGAGUUAAAUAAGAUUUCAGACCUAGACAGUAUAAAAGACAUUUUGUGCUCCUUUUCACACAAAAGCCAUAUCCACAUUUUAUUUCGUUUGCACAGGGAUUAAAAAAACCUACUUUUAUGAAUUGAAUACUGUAAUUGUUCCACCUCCAAAUAUGGUGGUAUACACAAGGCAUAUAAUUGUGUUUGACAGAUAAGAUACCUGGUUUGGUUCCCAGCAUUGUUGGUGAAAGGGCUAGGGUCAAGGUGUAAUGUUGUUUCUUGCCAUCUAAAUUAGACCUGUAGAGUCAGUUACUAGGUAUGGUCUUGAACCAGCUGAUAAUGACUUCCCCAGAGCUGGAGAAGCAAGCAAGUGAGGGGGGGGGGCUUCUUCCUAUCCUCCCCUUCAAACCCUGAACUCACUAGAGUGGAAAGUAGUAAGUAUGGUUGGUAACCGGGUACCUGAUAUGAAUAACACAGCCGCUAUUGGAAAAGUUAAGUGGAACUACAAAUACUUUACAUGAGAGUGGUAUCGUGUAACUCUUGUCAAGAAAGCUAAUAAACCGAUUUCUCACAAUGUUAGACAUUUCAUUUUAAAGUAAGUACACACUGGUAAACACAAAAACUAGUGGAAUAAAAAAUUAAAUAAAUGUUGUUGUUUUUUUUGCCUAGGUCUCUUCCGUACAGUGUCUAUUCAGGAUAUUCUACCCUA